This 223-nucleotide long non-coding RNA is filed under the name Elaeis guineensis (African oil palm). Its description in RNAcentral is "long non-coding RNA (EGUI_LNC046454)". The record is from RNAcentral. Lineage: Eukaryota; Viridiplantae; Streptophyta; Magnoliopsida; Arecales; Arecaceae.
GUAGAAAUGUUCACUAUCAAAUCUAUUUUCCAAAUCAAUAAAGUUCAUGAAUUUCUGACUCUUCUAUAAAUGGAAAAUGUUAUUUCUUCUAAGGGUGCGCAAAUAUUUUUCUGAACAGAUUUCAGGUGCAGAGGUCAGGAUGUGUAGGAUUUUUUUCAGAUGGAUUUUCAAGAACCAAAUAGUUUCAGAUUUCUAUAAAAUUUAAAAUCCCACUUAACAAUCA